CUACGGCCCUAUUUCGGCAACCCGAAAACCCGAGCUCAGAACAUUAUUCCUCGACCCAUAAACCCCAAAACUUUAUUCACAAUUGCCGAAAAUACCCUUCCUCCUCCAUUAACCACACUGUCAACGGAGACGGACAAGGUUCUGAGAGUAAGGCAAGGUCAUGGAGUUCGAGAAGAGAAAGGCCAUAGCCCUUGCAGAAAUGUCCUCAGAAGAGAGCGAUAAAUCACCCAAGGGCACGUUAGAUGCACCCAUAAUCCCUCUCCUUAAAAUCCUUAACCUACACCCUUCCUACUUCACCACCAGCUCCUGCUCCGGCCGCAUUUCCAUCCUCUCCCAACCGUCACCUUCUCAACUCCUAUCUAGCAAUACAAAGAAGAAGAAAGCUGGUGGAGGAUCCUGGCUCUUCAUCACCCACGAUCUGGCCCACCCUGACUCCGUCAUCGACGUCCUUUUCCACAACCCAUCGUCGCAGCCGUACGCUGCUGGGACUUUGGUUUUCAGGUUCGAGCCUUUCAUUCUCGCCGUUGAUUGCAAGGAAGUAGCGUCUGCGCAGGCACUGGUCUCCUCUGCGAUCUCCUGUGGGUUCCGAGAAUCCGGUAUAACAAGCAUACACAAACGCAUUAUGGUCGCCAUACGCUGCUCCAUACGCUUGGAGGUGCCCUUGGGACAGAUUAGUCAAUUGAUGGUUUCACCUGAGUAUGUUCGCUACCUUGUUGGGAUUGCCAAUGAGAAAAUGAUGGCCAAUAGGAGAAGAACUGAUGGUUUUCUUCAAGUUUUGCAAUUCAUGGUUUCCCCAGGAACAACAGCAGUGAAGAUUGAUAGUCAUCAUAGACAGCAAGGCUGUUUGGAUGCCAACCAAGGAAGUGUAUCAGUUCUGGAAGAGAAACAGCAAGAUUUAUUAUCAAAGGUAGCACCGCCUGAGAAGGAUACUUCAAUGUGUACAGGUGUGUAUUCUAGACAUAGUAAGAAAGAUAUUUAUGACAACCAUGAAGAACGUCAAAGUACUGAGUCUGCUGGACUUUGUACUGGAGAUAAAGGGACCAACACUUCUUGCAAGAAUUCAACUAAAGAUGCAUGCCCAUCCCACCAAUUGUCAGUUGAUGAUCUCCAUUUGGAGAGAACAAACUCAGAUUUAGGGUUAUCACAAGCUCCAGGGUUAUGUCUUUUUGCUGUCAAGAUGACGAUUAUUGGAGAACCAGUCGAGAAGCUCUUUCUCUGGGGCCAAACAGCUUCUAAGUUUAGCAUUACACACUGCAAACAAAUUCUCGUGUUUGGUGGUUUUGGAGGCUUAGGAAGACAUUCACGAAGAAAUGAUUCUCUGAUGCUUGAUCCUCAAUCCGGAACAUUAAAGAUGAUUAAUGCUGAUGGACCUCCAUCUCCACGCUUGGGUCAUACAUUUUCAGUGAUUGGGGAACAGGUUUUUGUAAUUGGAGGCAGGGGUGAUCCUACCCAAAUUCUGAAUGAUGUUUGGGUUCUGAAUUUAUCUGAGAAUAGAUGGAAGCUAUUAGAAUGUACUGGCAGCGUUUUCCAUCCUAGACACCGGCAUGCAGCUGGAGUUGCGGGCUCAAAAAUAUAUGUAUACGGAGGACUUAACAAUGACAUGAUCUAUUCCUGCAUGCAUAUCUUUGACACCAAAAGCUUAUGUUGGAGUGAGGUACACAUCCAAGGUGACUGGCCAUGCCCCCGGCAUUCACAUUCUUUGGUGGCAGACGAGUCACAAUUAUUUAUGUUUGGUGGGUACGAUGGUCAGAAAGCACUUGGAGACCUUUACAGUUUUGAUGUUGGUACGUGUAUUUGGAAGAAGGAGAAGACAAUAGGGAAAGCCCCCUUUGCAAGAUUUUCACAUUCUAUGUUCAUUUACAAAUAUUAUCUGGGCAUUGUUGGUGGGUGCCCCGUCCAACAGCAGUUUCAAGAGGUGGCUUUACUUGAUCUGCGAAACCAUGUCUGGAAGCAUGUGAGGGUUGACUCUAUAAGCAAGGAGCUUUUGGUUCGUAGCACAAGCAUUGUUGUAGACGAUGAUCUUGUUAUUGUUGGUGGUGGGGUAUCAUGUUAUGCAUUUGGUACAAAGUUUAAUGAGCCAAUUAAAAUAGACUUGUGCCCGUUAAUAUAUUCAGAUAGUAUCCCUUCUGGCAUGGAAGAUGCACCCAUUAUAAAACAUAAAGAGGUAAUGGAGGAUUUGUUCUCAACAUCUAAUGGGGGAGAAUUUCUGUCCAUUGAUAAUGAAAAAACCACACCUGAAACUGCAAACUUGAAUCAUAGGGUUGAUAAAUAUGAUAGAAGUGAUGGGCUCCAUGUGGAUGCUAAAAACUGGGUUCUACAGCUUGAACGGAAAUAUGCCAAACAAGGAAAGGACAUACUAAAAGAACUUGGAUGGUUAGAUUGUGGGAGGAAGGUUUAUUCCAGUCAGGAUGGGCGUAACAUUUGUUUACCGAUUACUGAAAAAUCAUACGCCUUCUUUCAGGAAAAAUCUUAUCAUUCAGUAGAUGUAUUUGAUAGUUUGGAUGGCUCUCAUGCAUCGGGACCUUUUGCAGGGAAGGGGGUUCUGUUGAAUGAGGUUUCUCUCACAAUGGCAUUAAGUCUUUUGUCGGUAUGUGGUGGUUCUAUACUUUAUGAUGAUGUUGCUUGUGUCAGAAAGGCUCCCAAUGCUCCCCAAAAGGUGCUGAAGGAAGCAGUAUGCUCUUUGAUUAAGCGGAAAGGCUUAUCGCUACAGCUGUUAGAGCAGUUGCCCACUAGGUGGGAGCGACUUGGCGAUAUUGUGGUGCUUCCAGUGUCAUCAUUUAAGGAUCCAAUUUGGGACUCGGUUGGUGAGGAGCUUUGGCCUACGGUCGCCAAAUCGCUUGGUGCCCAUCGGCUUGCACGUCAGGGUAGAAUUGUGCCGAAUGGCACAAGAGAUAGCACAUUGGAGAUCCUUGUGGGAGACAAUGGCUGGGUCAAUCAUCACGAAAAUGGAAUUCUCUAUUCUUUUGAUGCAACAAAAUGCAUGUUUUCCUGGGGAAAUCUUUCAGAAAAGCUUCGAAUGGCUCGCCUGGACUGUAGGGAUGAAGUUGUUGUUGACUUGUUUGCUGGAAUUGGAUAUUUUGUGCUGCCCUUUCUUGUCAAGUCUAAGGCAAAACUGGUUUAUGCUUGCGAGUGGAAUCCCCAUGCUAUAGAGGCACUUCGGCAUAAUGUUCAAGCCAAUUUGGUGGCAGAUAGGUGUGUCAUACUCGAAGGGGAUAACAAAGUUACAGCACCAAAAGGAGUUGCAGAUCGUGUAUGCCUUGGUCUUCUGCCAACAAGUGAGAGUAGCUGGCUUACAGCUGUUAGGGCAUUGAGGCCAGAGGGUGGCAUAUUGCAUGUGCAUGGAAAUGUAAAAGAUUCAGAGGAGGAUUUGUGGUUAGAACAUGUAUCUACAUCAAUAGGCAGCAUUGCUAAAUCUGAAGGUUAUGGCUGGGAUGUUUUAAUAGAACACUUGGAGCGAGUGAAAUGGUACGGGCCACACAUCCGCCAUCUUGUUGCUGAUGUAAGAUGCAAACAGCUUGUGUAGCAAUUGAAACAGGCCAUCAGUACCUACUCAACUUUUCUUAAAUAUGAAAAAGAGCCUGUUUGGAUUGCAAAUUGCAUCAGUAAUGUACUGUAAAAGUGCAAUGAUUACAAAUAACAAUACCUGUCUCCUGAAAACAGGUUGAGCAGUGAGGAAAUGAAUCUUUAGGUUGUGGAGAAGGCAUGCAAUGCUUAUGGCCCACCUAAUACCUGGUGUACCAACUAUACAAUCUAGCCAUCAACUCUCUCCUUUUCAUUCACAUCAACAAGCAGGCCCCAUAGGUCCAAAAGACCAAAAGGAAUGGAAGUGAAUGACAGAAAAUUAAGGUGUGGGAUUGAUUAGCAAAUGACGGCAAUUCUAUACAGGACCAUUGAGCAGCAACAGCCACAGGCCCACAGCUACCCACCAAUGCCUGCAAAUUGCAAACAGGUUAGGAGAUUUCAGCUGCUUCUGUAUGCUUAGUUGAACUGUGCUGUGAUAAUUGAUUAAAUAUAAGGGGGAUAUGAUGGAAAUGGAGGUGAGAUCAUUUUAAGUUCAUAAUGAUGGCUGCUGGGACCGCCCAGCAGCCCCUAAAUGCAAUUGAAUUCAAUUUCAAGUUGGAGUUGACAGGAUAGAAGUUGAAAGUUGGUCAUUUACCCUAUUGAACUAAAUCAUCACAACUGGAUUCAAUUGGACAUCGAAAAGCCACCUUUGCCUA
This is an RNA transcript of Magnolia sinica, 4217 nucleotides long. It is a transcript of the gene named tRNA wybutosine-synthesizing protein 2/3/4, with no coding region annotated. The transcript has 13 exons. NCBI's taxonomy places the organism in Eukaryota, Viridiplantae, Streptophyta, Magnoliopsida, Magnoliales, Magnoliaceae. The record is from RefSeq and is a predicted model, not a curated record.